CGUAGGGUGCGUAGCGUUAAUCGGAAUUACUGGGCGUAAAGCGUGCGCAGGCGGUUUUGUAAGACAGAUGUCGAAAUCCCCGGGCUCAACCUGGGACCUGCAUUUGGUGACUGCAAGGCUAGAGUACGGUAGAGGGGAUGGAAUUCCGCGUGUAGCAGUGAAAUGCGUAGAUAUGCGGAGGAACACCGAUGGCGAAGGCAAUCCCCUGGACCUGUACUGACGCUCAUGGCACGAAAGCGUGGGGAGCAAACAGGAUUAGAUACCCUGGUAGUCCACGCCCUAAACGAUGUCAACUGGUUGUUGGGUCUUUACUGACUCAGUAACGAAGCUAACGCGUGAAGUUGACCGCCUGGGGAGUACGGCCGCAAGGUUG
RNAcentral lists this ribosomal RNA (373 nucleotides) under uncultured organism. RNAcentral's name for it is "bacterial SSU rRNA". It matches the Rfam family "Bacterial small subunit ribosomal RNA", at positions 526 to 896 of the family's 1533-position model. The record is from RNAcentral.